GAUGAACGCUAGCGGGAGGCCUAACACAUGCAAGCCGAGCGGGAUUUAUUGGUUAGCUUGCUAACUGAUGAUGAGAGCGGCGUACGGGUGCGGAACAUGUGUGCAAUCUGCCCUUAUCAAGGGGAUAGCCCAGAGGAAUCUGGAUUAAUACCCUAUAACAUAUGGGAUGGCAUCAUUUCAUAUUAAAAGCUACGGCGGAUAAGGAUGAGCACGCACAAGAUUAGCUAGUUGGUAAGGUAACGGCUUACCAAGGCGACGAUCUUUAGGGGGCCUGAGAGGGUGAUCCCCCACACUGGGACUGAGACACGGCCCAGACUCCUACGGGAGGCAGCAGUGAGGAAUAUUGGACAAUGGGUGGAAGCCUGAUCCAGCCAUCCCGCGUGCAGGACGACUGCCCUAUGGGUUGUAAACUGCUUUUAUAUAGGGAUAAACCUACUCUCGUGAGAGUAGCUGAAGGUACUAUAUGAAUAAGCACCGGCUAACUCCGUGCCAGCAGCCGCGGUAAUACGGAGGAUGCGAGCGUUAUCCGGAAUCAUUGGGUUUAAAGGGUCCGUAGGCGGGCUGAUAAGUCAGAGGUGAAAGCGCUUAGCUCAACUAAGCAACUGCCUUUGAAACUGUCAGUCUUGAAUGAUUGUGAAGUAGUUGGAAUGUGUAGUGUAGCGGUGAAAUGCUUAGAUAUUACACAGAACACCGAUAGCGAAGGCAUAUUACUAACAAUUUAUUGACGCUGAUGGACGAAAGCGUGGGGAGCGAACAGG
RNAcentral lists this ribosomal RNA (758 nucleotides) under uncultured Flavobacteriales bacterium. Its description in RNAcentral is "bacterial SSU rRNA". It matches the Rfam family "Bacterial small subunit ribosomal RNA", at positions 28 to 776 of the family's 1533-position model. Lineage: Bacteria; Pseudomonadati; Bacteroidota; Flavobacteriia; Flavobacteriales. The record is from RNAcentral.